Molecule: transfer RNA, 76 nt
Filed under: Streptomyces hydrogenans
Lineage: Bacteria; Bacillati; Actinomycetota; Actinomycetes; Kitasatosporales; Streptomycetaceae
Description: tRNA-Leu
Rfam family: tRNA
About the family: Transfer RNA (tRNA) molecules are approximately 80 nucleotides in length. Their secondary structure includes four short double-helical elements and three loops (D, anti-codon, and T loops). Further hydrogen bonds mediate the characteristic L-shaped molecular structure. tRNAs have two regions of fundamental functional importance: the anti-codon, which is responsible for specific mRNA codon recognition, and the 3' end, to which the tRNAs corresponding amino acid is attached (by aminoacyl-tRNA synthetases). tRNAs cope with the degeneracy of the genetic code in two manners: having more than one tRNA (with a specific anti-codon) for a particular amino acid; and 'wobble' base-pairing, i.e. permitting non-standard base-pairing at the 3rd anti-codon position.
Source: RNAcentral
GCGCUGCUGAAGGGAACUGGCAUACCUCGCUGCCUCAAAAGCAGUGGAUUCCCGGUUCGAAUCCGGGGCGGCGCAC